UUCCGGUUGAUCCCGCCGGACCUGACUGCUAUCGGAUUGAUACUAAGCCAUGCGAGUCAUUGUAGCAAUACAAGGCAUACGGCUCAGUAACGCGUAGUCAACCUAACCUAUGGACGGGAAUAACCUCGGGAAACUGAGAAUAAUGCCCGAUAGAACACUAUACCUGGAAUGGUUUGUGUUCCAAAUGAUUUAUCGCCGUAGGAUGGGACUGCGGCCUAUCAGUUUGUUGGUGAGGUAAUGGCCCACCAAGACUAUUACAGGUACGGGCUCUGAGAGGAGUAGCCCGGAGAUGGGUACUGAGACACGGACCCAGGCCCUAUGGGGCGCAGCAGGCGAGAAAACUUUGCAAUGUGCGAAAGCACGACAAGGUUAAUCCGAGUGGUUCCUGCUAAAGGAACCUUUUGUUAGUCCUAGAAACACUAACGAAUAAGGGGUGGCCAAGUUCUGGUGUCAGCCGCCGCGGUAA
Molecule: ribosomal RNA, 466 nt
Filed under: uncultured archaeon
Lineage: Archaea
Description: bacterial SSU rRNA
Rfam family: Archaeal small subunit ribosomal RNA
Source: RNAcentral